UACGUAGGGUGCAAGCGCUGUCCGGAAUUAUUGGGCGUAAAGAGCUCGUAGGCGGUUUGUCGCGUCUGCUGUGAAAACUCGGGGCUUAACUCCGGGCCUGCAGUGGGUACGGGCAGACUAGAGUGCGGUAGGGGAGACUGGAAUUCCUGGUGUAGCGGUGGAAUGCGCAGAUAUCAGGAGGAACACCGGUGGCGAAGGCGGGUCUCUGGGCUGUAACUGACGCUGAGGAGCGAAAGCGUGGGUAGCGAACAGG
This 253-nucleotide ribosomal RNA is filed under the name uncultured bacterium. RNAcentral describes it as "partial 16S ribosomal RNA". It matches the Rfam family "Bacterial small subunit ribosomal RNA", at positions 524 to 776 of the family's 1533-position model. The record is from RNAcentral.